AGAGUUUGAUCCUGGCUCAGGAUGAACGCCGGCGGUGUGCCUAAUACAUGCAAGUCGUACGCACUGGCCCAACUGAUUGAUGGUGCUUGCACCUGAUUGACGAUGGAUCACCAGUGAGUGGCGGACGGGUGAGUAACACGUAGGUAACCUGCCUCGGAGCGGGGGAUAACAUUUGGAAACAGAUGCUAAUACCGCAUAACAACAAAAGCCACAUGGCUUUUGUUUGAAAGAUGGCUUUGGCUAUCACUCUGGGAUGGACCUGCGGUGCAUUAGCUAGUUGGUAAGGUAACGGCCUACCAAGGCAAUGAUGCAUAGCCGAGUUGAGAGACUGAUCGGCCACAAUGGAACUGAGACACGGUCCAUACUCCUACGGGAGGCAGCAGUAGGGAAUCUUCCACAAUGGGCGCAAGCCUGAUGGAGCAACACCGCGUGAGUGAAGAAGGGUUUCGGCUCGUAAAGCUCUGUUGUUGGAGAAGAACGUGCGUGAGAGUAACUGUUCACGCAGUGACGGUAUCCAACCAGAAAGUCACGGCUAACUACGUGCCAGCAGCCGCGGUAAUACGUAGGUGGCAAGCGUUAUCCGGAUUUAUUGGGCGUAAAGCGAGCGCAGGCGGUUGCUUAGAUCUGAUGUGAAAGCCUUCGGCUUAACCGAAGAAGUGCAUCGGAAACCGGGCGACUUGAGUGCAGAAGAGGACAGUGGAACUCCAUGUGUAGCGGUGGAAUGCGUAGAUAUAUGGAAGAACACCAGUGGCGAAGGCGGCUGUCUGGUCUGCAACUGACGCUGAGGCUCGAAAGCAUGGGUAGCGAACAGGAUUAGAUACCCUGGUAGUCCAUGCCGUAAACGAUGAGUGCUAGGUGUUGGAGGGUUUCCGCCCUUCAGUGCCGGAGCUAACGCAUUAAGCACUCCGCCUGGGGAGUACGACCGCAAGGUUGAAACUCAAAGGAAUUGACGGGGGCCCGCACAAGCGGUGGAGCAUGUGGUUUAAUUCGAAGCUACGCGAAGAACCUUACCAGGUCUUGACAUCUUGCGCUAACCUUAGAGAUAAGGCGUUCCCUUCGGGGACGCAAUGACAGGUGGUGCAUGGUCGUCGUCAGCUCGUGUCGUGAGAUGUUGGGUUAAGUCCCGCAACGAGCGCAACCCUUGUUACUAGUUGCCAGCAUUAAGUUGGGCACUCUAGUGAGACUGCCGGUGACAAACCGGAGGAAGGUGGGGACGACGUCAGAUCAUCAUGCCCCUUAUGACCUGGGCUACACACGUGCUACAAUGGACGGUACAACGAGUCGCAAGCUCGCGAGAGUAAGCUAAUCUCUUAAAGCCGUUCUCAGUUCGGACUGUAGGCUGCAACUCGCCUACACGAAGUCGGAAUCGCUAGUAAUCGCGGAUCAGCAUGCCGCGGUGAAUACGUUCCCGGGCCUUGCACACACCGCCCGUCA
This 1434-nucleotide ribosomal RNA is filed under the name uncultured bacterium. Its description in RNAcentral is "bacterial SSU rRNA". It matches the Rfam family "Bacterial small subunit ribosomal RNA". The record is from RNAcentral.